Non-coding RNA from Xyrichtys novacula (pearly razorfish), 838 nucleotides. Lineage: Eukaryota; Metazoa; Chordata; Actinopteri; Labriformes; Labridae. The record is from the annotation of a GenBank genome assembly.
CGCAGAUGUCGGAGUGACUGGGCCCGUCCCCGUUACGCCCUCCUAUAAAUAUGCAGAUUUAUUUAAAUAGGGUCUCCCUGUCCUCGCACGCAGACAAAAUGACAAGAAAAACUAAAUUUACUGCGUGCGAGGUGGAGGUGCUGGUGGCGGAGGUGGAGGAGCGACAGCGUGUUUUGUUUGGCAGCCUGUCCAGUGGCGUCAGUGCAAAACAAAAACGCUUGGAGUGGGAGAAAGUUUCCGAGAGGGUGAACGCGGUGGGUUACAAGACACGCACCCCCGCGGAGAUUAAAAAAAAGUGGUCGGACCUCAAGGUGGAGGUCAAGCGGCGUACAGCUGCCCUCCGGAGGAGUACCGGCCAGACAGGUGGGGGUCUGGGGGAGGAGACCCUCAUGCCGUUUGAGCAGCGGGUGGUGGCGAUUAUUAUUACAGGGUAAGUGGCGUGUCACACAAAUGUCCACAUGCUUUGCCAUCCCACUGAGCAAAAGACGUAUAUUAGCCGUCUAGUCUAAGUUUAUACUUCAUUUCAACGUCGGGAUUCAGUCUAUUUUUAGACGUGAUUUAUACUUCGCCCUUAACUUCAUUUUUCGAUAACUUUUUAUGCAAUAAACAACUGUAAUGUUCAUAACUGACCUCUAAAUACUGGAUUACAUUACCUAUGAUACCGUGGAGAGAGAUGUAAACGCAACAGAUACACAGAAGCAGGAAUUGAAAUGAACCAAUAUUUUUAUUGUGUCACAGAAAUCAAUGUGCUGGCCCGCGGCAGCCCGUCCGCCGGCUCGGAGUCGUCGGCCAGGACCAGCGGCAUUCGGGCCACCCCGGCCCCAGCACCAGCACCAGC